This 253-nucleotide ribosomal RNA is filed under the name uncultured prokaryote. Its description in RNAcentral is "partial 16S ribosomal RNA". It matches the Rfam family "Bacterial small subunit ribosomal RNA", at positions 524 to 776 of the family's 1533-position model. The record is from RNAcentral.
UACGUAGGAUGCAAGCGUUGUCCGGAAUUACUGGGCGUAAAGGGCGAGCAGGCGGCUUUUCAAGUCCGAUGUGAAAUCUCCCGGCUUAACUGGGAGGGGCCAUUGGAAACUGGGAGGCUAGAGUGCAGGAGAGGCUAACGGAAUUCCCGGUGUAGUGGUGAAAUGCGUAGAUAUCGGGAGGAACACCAGUGGCGAAGGCGGUUAGCUGGCCUGUAACUGACGCUGAGGCGCGAAGGCUAGGGGAGCGAACAGG